Molecule: long non-coding RNA, 1142 nt
Organism: Mya arenaria
Lineage: Eukaryota; Metazoa; Mollusca; Bivalvia; Myida; Myidae
Exons: 5
Source: RefSeq, a predicted model, not a curated record
CGAUCGUCGCCAUUUUGUAAGCGCCCUGCCUAAAAGUGUCUCAUGGACUUCAGCUGGAUUAAAUGUGUAUUACCCGGGAGGAACUGUAAAGAGCCAGCCAGACAGCCCGCCCGCCGAGCUGCCCACCCGGCCGAGCUGUACUUUGUGUAUGCCAACAUGCCGCCAUGCUGUAAUUUGUUAGUACUUCAAGAUCAUAUAAUGGAAAUUUUUAUCCAAACUGAAGUAUAAACCAGCCUGGUUGCUGUACCACAGGGGAAUUCAAGGACAAGAACCAGUGCUGGUAAAAAUGUGGUCUCAUGUGGUUUUCCAUACCGGCAUUCAGCAAGGAUUUCAGAGAAAGGAAUACUGUCUCCAAAUCAUGAUGUGCCAAUAAGCUUCAGUUAGCUGCGCCUUUUUCCUCCCACCGGUAAUCCUGCAAUCUGAAUCCAGGAGAUGCAGCUCUGAAUCCAAUAUUUCAGGAGAAUGAAUAUAAAACUGAAGCCUUCAGGGAGUCAAUGCCACCAUGGUAUUGAUGUACUCAGCUGUGAUGUAACAUGCCUUCAAGCCACUAUCCGAACAACAUUCAGACGUUCUAAAUGGACCAUUGCCCUGUUGCCAUGGAAAUCAUUAUGAGGAGGAGCACACAAACUGUCACUUGUUUUGAAUAUGAGAUGUACCACGAACUGACCAUAAACUUUUGGGAUGCUCUGUUUAUUUCAUCAGCCAAUUUCGAUGUAAAUUUUACUGAAUAAUGACAAACAGUCUUACUCAUAAGCAUCUCUUACUCAUUCGUAUUCCACAACUAAACAUGCUUGCAAUUACACUGUGCCAUCUAUCAUAAUAUAGCAAUGCUGCAAUGACCACAUUUUUAUGUACCAGUUGUUGCCUUAUACUGAAACUUUUAUUGAAAAUAAACAUAAACACUGACAACACAUAAAUGUUUCAUUCAUACAUUUGUACAUGUUCUUUCAGUGUAUAUGGUGAUAAUGUUAAGACAUAUUUCAUGUGCAUUUUCACAUGUGUUUAUUGCCAACCUCUUCAAAACAUGCAUAGUUUGCUCACAUACAUAUUUCCAACACAGACAUUUACUGAAUGUAUUACUACUUUACGUUAAUUUUGAUAUGUAAAUAAAACAUUGUACUUCUCGUUUGUACAAAACACUU